Long non-coding RNA from Zalophus californianus (California sea lion), 892 nucleotides. RefSeq lists it as uncharacterized. Lineage: Eukaryota; Metazoa; Chordata; Mammalia; Carnivora; Otariidae. The transcript has 3 exons. The record is from RefSeq and is a predicted model, not a curated record.
AAUUAAAGGAAGUGGUGAAAAGAACAAGAAGAAAAAGAAGGAGGAGGAGGCAGAGAAGAAGGAGAGUGUUCUAGUAUCAGAUACCCUGACAGCAACCAGGUGUGGGAACAACAGCAAGAGAGGUUUCAAUCUACACAUCAAAUGGGCAAUGCAGUAGGACAUUUUGGGAAGGACUCAAGAAACUGUGAAGAAUGGCUGCCUGUCUACUCCCAGAGAACUGAGAAACACAACCUGAAUCUAAUCAGACAAAUCCAAACUGACAAAGGGACAUUCUACAAAAUGAUUGGCCUGUCGUCUUCACGAGUGUCCUGAUCAUGAAAGUCAGAAACACCGAGGAAUUGUUACAGAUUGAAGAAGCCUAAGGAGAUGUGACAGGAAAUGCAAUACGUUAUUCUGAACAGGAGCUUUUUACUACAAACGACAAUCGGUGAUUGAAUGCGGUUUGGGCACUAGCUGUAGUAAAUUAUCAAUGUUAAUUUCCUGAUUUUAAUGGUUGUAUUGGAGCAUCUCGUCGGUAUCUUAUUGUCAAAUGAUUUUUUAAGUGUUCUUUGCACUGUAGUUGCAACUUUUUCCUCUAGGUUUUAGAUUACUUUCAUAUUUCAAAAGUAUUAAAAAACAAAGUAGACCAUGCCGUUAGUAUUUUAAAAUUCUAAGCCGAAUGCAAGUUAGAGUCCUAAGAUUUUAGAGCUGUGAUGCAUACUAUCUCCGCCUUCAAGGAGCUAAUGGAAGAACUGCGUGCACACAAUUUUGUUAAAAGGAAAAUGGUAGAGAUUUACCUCUGACUUUUCUGCAGGGGCAGCUUUCUAACUAAGCUUUCACAGCAGAGGCGCCCGCCCCCGCCCGGCCGGCUCUCGCUCUGCAGCCGGGAACCCGAGCCCGGCUGCGCCGCCGA